GGGUUGUGAGGUUAAGCGACUAAGCGUACACGGUGGAUGCCCUGGCAGUCAGAGGCGAUGAAGGACGUGCUAAUCUGCGAUAAGCGUCGGUAAGGUGAUAUGAACCGUUAUAACCGGCGAUUUCCGAAUGGGGAAACCCAGUGUGUUUCGACACACUAUCAUUAACUGAAUCCAUAGGUUAAUGAGGCGAACCGGGGGAACUGAAACAUCUAAGUACCCCGAGGAAAAGAAAUCAACCGAGAUUCCCCCAGUAGCGGCGAGCGAACGGGGAGCAGCCCAGAGCCUGAAUCAGUAUGUGUGUUAGUGGAAGCGUCUGGAAAGGCGCGCGAUACAGGGUGACAGCCCCGUACACAAAAAUGCACAUGCUGUGAGCUCGAUGAGUAGGGCGGGACACGUGGUAUCCUGUCUGAAUAUGGGGGGACCAUCCUCCAAGGCUAAAUACUCCUGACUGACCGAUAGUGAACCAGUACCGUGAGGGAAAGGCGAAAAGAACCCCGGCGAGGGGAGUGAAAAAGAACCUGAAACCGUGUACGUACAAGCAGUGGGAGCACAGAGCAAUCUGUGUGACUGCGUACCUUUUGUAUAAUGGGUCAGCGACUUAUAUUCUGUAGCAAGGUUAACCGAAUAGGGGAGCCGAAGGGAAACCGAGUCUUAACUGGGCGUUAAGUUGCAGGGUAUAGACCCGAAACCCGGUGAUCUAGCCAUGGGCAGGUUGAAGGUUGGGUAACACUAACUGGAGGACCGAACCGACUAAUGUUGAAAAAUUAGCGGAUGACUUGUGGCUGGGGGUGAAAGGCCAAUCAAACCGGGAGAUAGCUGGUUCUCCCCGAAAGCUAUUUAGGUAGCGCCUCGUGAAUUCAUCUCCGGGGGUAGAGCACUGUUUCGGCAAGGGGGUCAUCCCGACUUACCAACCCGAUGCAAACUGCGAAUACCGGAGAAUGUUAUCACGGGAGACACACGGCGGGUGCUAACGUCCGUCGUGAAGAGGGAAACAACCCAGACCGCCAGCUAAGGUCCCAAAGUCAUGGUUAAGUGGGAAACGAUGUGGGAAGGCCCAGACAGCCAGGAUGUUGGCUUAGAAGCAGCCAUCAUUUAAAGAAAGCGUAAUAGCUCACUGGUCGAGUCGGCCUGCGCGGAAGAUGUAACGGGGCUAAACCAUGCACCGAAGCUGCGGCAGCGACGCUGAUGCGUUGUUGGGUAGGGGAGCGUUCUGUAAGCCUGCGAAGGUGUGCUGUGAGGCAUGCUGGAGGUAUCAGAAGUGCGAAUGCUGACAUAAGUAACGAUAAAGCGGGUGAAAAGCCCGCUCGCCGGAAGACCAAGGGUUCCUGUCCAACGUUAAUCGGGGCAGGGUGAGUCGACCCCUAAGGCGAGGCCGAAAGGCGUAGUCGAUGGGAAACAGGUUAAUAUUCCUGUACUUGGUGUUACUGCGAAGGGGGGACGGAGAAGGCUAUGUUGGCCGGGCGACGGUUGUCCCGGUUUAAGCGUGUAGGCUGGUUUUCCAGGCAAAUCCGGAAAAUCAAGGCUGAGGCGUGAUGACGAGGCACUACGGUGCUGAAGCAACAAAUGCCCUGCUUCCAGGAAAAGCCUCUAAGCAUCAGGUAACAUCAAAUCGUACCCCAAACCGACACAGGUGGUCAGGUAGAGAAUACCAAGGCGCUUGAGAGAACUCGGGUGAAGGAACUAGGCAAAAUGGUGCCGUAACUUCGGGAGAAGGCACGCUGAUAUGUAGGUGAAGUCCCUCGCGGAUGGAGCUGAAAUCAGUCGAAGAUACCAGCUGGCUGCAACUGUUUAUUAAAAACACAGCACUGUGCAAACACGAAAGUGGACGUAUACGGUGUGACGCCUGCCCGGUGCCGGAAGGUUAAUUGAUGGGGUUAGCGCAAGCGAAGCUCUUGAUCGAAGCCCCGGUAAACGGCGGCCGUAACUAUAACGGUCCUAAGGUAGCGAAAUUCCUUGUCGGGUAAGUUCCGACCUGCACGAAUGGCGUAAUGAUGGCCAGGCUGUCUCCACCCGAGACUCAGUGAAAUUGAACUCGCUGUGAAGAUGCAGUGUACCCGCGGCAAGACGGAAAGACCCCGUGAACCUUUACUAUAGCUUGACACUGAACAUUGAGCCUUGAUGUGUAGGAUAGGUGGGAGGCUUUGAAGUGUGGACGCCAGUCUGCAUGGAGCCGACCUUGAAAUACCACCCUUUAAUGUUUGAUGUUCUAACGUUGACCCGUAAUCCGGGUUGCGGACAGUGUCUGGUGGGUAGUUUGACUGGGGCGGUCUCCUCCUAAAGAGUAACGGAGGAGCACGAAGGUUGGCUAAUCCUGGUCGGACAUCAGGAGGUUAGUGCAAUGGCAUAAGCCAGCUUGACUGCGAGCGUGACGGCGCGAGCAGGUGCGAAAGCAGGUCAUAGUGAUCCGGUGGUUCUGAAUGGAAGGGCCAUCGCUCAACGGAUAAAAGGUACUCCGGGGAUAACAGGCUGAUACCGCCCAAGAGUUCAUAUCGACGGCGGUGUUUGGCACCUCGAUGUCGGCUCAUCACAUCCUGGGGCUGAAGUAGGUCCCAAGGGUAUGGCUGUUCGCCAUUUAAAGUGGUACGCGAGCUGGGUUUAGAACGUCGUGAGACAGUUCGGUCCCUAUCUGCCGUGGGCGCUGGAGAACUGAGGGGGGCUGCUCCUAGUACGAGAGGACCGGAGUGGACGCAUCACUGGUGUUCGGGUUGUCAUGCCAAUGGCACUGCCCGGUAGCUAAAUGCGGAAGAGAUAAGUGCUGAAAGCAUCUAAGCACGAAACUUGCCCCGAGAUGAGUUCUCCCUGACUCCUUGAGAGUCCUGAAGGAACGUUGAAGACGACGACGUUGAUAGGCCGGGUGUGUAAGCGCAGCGAUGCGUUGAGCUAACCGGUACUAAUGAACCGUGAGGCUUAACCUUACAACGCCGAAG
RNAcentral lists this ribosomal RNA (2927 nucleotides) under Escherichia coli. RNAcentral's name for it is "bacterial LSU rRNA". It matches the Rfam family "Bacterial large subunit ribosomal RNA". Lineage: Bacteria; Pseudomonadati; Pseudomonadota; Gammaproteobacteria; Enterobacterales; Enterobacteriaceae. The record is from RNAcentral.